RNAcentral lists this ribosomal RNA (252 nucleotides) under uncultured Bacteroidales bacterium. RNAcentral describes it as "partial 16S ribosomal RNA". It matches the Rfam family "Bacterial small subunit ribosomal RNA", at positions 524 to 776 of the family's 1533-position model. The record is from RNAcentral. Lineage: Bacteria; Pseudomonadati; Bacteroidota; Bacteroidia; Bacteroidales.
UACGGAGGAUGCGAGCGUUAUCCGGAUUUAUUGGGUUUAAAGGGAGCGCAGGCGGCGAGUUAAGUCAGCGGUAAAAUUUCGGGGCUCAACCCCGACAAGCCGUUGAAACUGGCUUGCUAGAGUGCGCGAGAAGUAUGCGGAAUGCGUGGUGUAGCGGUGAAAUGCAUAGAUAUCGCGCAGAACUCCGAUUGCGAAGGCAGCAUGCCGGCUCCACACUGACGCUGAGGCACGAAAGUGCGGGUAUCGAACAGG